UCAAAAAGCAAAAGACUACAUGGACAUG
This 28-nucleotide non-coding RNA is filed under the name Rattus norvegicus (Norway rat). The record is from RNAcentral. Lineage: Eukaryota; Metazoa; Chordata; Mammalia; Rodentia; Muridae.